AUCUGAAUCAGAAUUACCACCUGCAACAUCUGCCUCGGUGUCAUCACAAAUAAGAUCUUCUAUGACAUCUUCUAAUUUGCCAUCAACCUAUUUGAUCUACAACGGUGAGGAUGAUCAGAUUGAAGAAAAUCAGAUCAAAAGCGGCGUUGAAAAUCCUAGAACCGCCGACAACCCCUAACAUCCACAUUUCAACAAACAUUGACAAAAUCAAGAUGUAUGCAUUUAAAAGAAAAUCUUAAGCAAUCCAAUCGAAGGCCAAAGAACAGGCACCUAAAUUAAUCAAAAAAGCGCAUUCUAAAAAACAUCGCAUUGAAAUGGUUCUACAGUCAACUAACCCAUCUGUUGGAAAACCGAAAAGACCACCUCGUGAAAGCACGGUAGUUAAUCCACGUCAACGGCACGAAGUUCAAUUCAAACGCAAGCUCUCUCGUUGUUGGAUGUUUCUUUAAAAGCAACCCAAACCGCCACCGUUGCAACGCACGUCUUCUACAACUCCUUGCCCUUCAACUUCGUCGUCGCGGUCUGCAUCUCGUUCCUCGGUAGCUCCAAUGCCUAUCGUGAAGUGAAUUCGGCCAACACCCUGUUGCGGAUGGGAACGCAGAAAAACUACAUGAGUUGUGGGCUUUGCUGAAUUUUCUGUUGCCGGAUAUUUUCAACAUCGGAAAUGAUUUUGACUCCUGGUUCGACCCUAAUGAAUGCAUUGGGGAAAACAAAAUUAUUGAACGUUUGCAUGCGGUAUUGAAACCUUUCCUGCUCCUGAAAUCGGAAGUAGAGAAGAGGGUGCUGCCAAAAGGAGGUCAAAAUGCGAA
Armigeres subalbatus is the source of this 809-nucleotide long non-coding RNA. RefSeq lists it as uncharacterized. The record is from RefSeq and is a predicted model, not a curated record. The transcript is spliced from 3 exons. NCBI's taxonomy places the organism in Eukaryota, Metazoa, Arthropoda, Insecta, Diptera, Culicidae.